RNAcentral lists this ribosomal RNA (563 nucleotides) under Aspergillus fumigatus. RNAcentral describes it as "eukaryotic LSU rRNA". The stretch from base 209 to 362 matches the Rfam family "5.8S ribosomal RNA". The record is from RNAcentral. Lineage: Eukaryota; Fungi; Ascomycota; Eurotiomycetes; Eurotiales; Aspergillaceae.
UGAACCUGCGGAAGGUAUCAUUACCGAGUGAGGGCCCUCUGGGUCCAACCUCCCACCCGUGUCUAUCGUACCUUGUUGCUUCGGCGGGCCCGCCGUUUCGACGGCCGCCGGGGAGGCCUUGCGCCCCCGGGCCCGCGCCCGCCGAAGACCCCAACAUGAACGCUGUUCUGAAAGUAUGCAGUCUGAGUUGAUUAUCGUAAUCAGUUAAAACUUUCAACAACGGAUCUCUUGGUUCCGGCAUCGAUGAAGAACGCAGCGAAAUGCGAUAAGUAAUGUGAAUUGCAGAAUUCAGUGAAUCAUCGAGUCUUUGAACGCACAUUGCGCCCCCUGGUAUUCCGGGGGGCAUGCCUGUCCGAGCGUCAUUGCUGCCCUCAAGCACGGCUUGUGUGUUGGGCCCCCGUCCCCCUCUCCCGGGGGACGGGCCCGAAAGGCAGCGGCGGCACCGCGUCCGGUCCUCGAGCGUAUGGGGCUUUGUCACCUGCUCUGUAGGCCCGGCCGGCGCCAGCCGACACCCAACUUUAUUUUUCUAAGGUUGACCUCGGAUCAGGUAGGGAUACCCGCUG